This 211-nucleotide long non-coding RNA is filed under the name Elaeis guineensis (African oil palm). RNAcentral describes it as "long non-coding RNA (EGUI_LNC073628)". Lineage: Eukaryota; Viridiplantae; Streptophyta; Magnoliopsida; Arecales; Arecaceae. The record is from RNAcentral.
CCAUCUUCAAUCUUUGAAAAAAAUUUAGAGAUUUGAAGAAAGGAUCCAGAAUGGUCAAGAAAAAGAUCUUCGUGCAAGCUAGCACUCCCGAGAAGAUCGAUCAGAUACGGGCUUCGAGUGGAUUUCUCAUAGAGGUCGGAUGCGUGUGCAGUUAUGAGCAACCAACAAAGAUCUUCUCUACCAUGUCUCUCAGCAAUAGAGAUCAUCGACC